MicroRNA precursor from Oryza sativa Indica Group (long-grained rice), 197 nucleotides. It matches the Rfam family "MIR812 microRNA precursor family". Lineage: Eukaryota; Viridiplantae; Streptophyta; Magnoliopsida; Poales; Poaceae. The record is from Rfam.
AAUAAGUGCAGUUUUGUACUAUUCACGUUCAACGAUUGAUCGUUCGUCUUAUUUGAAAAUUUUGUAUGAUUAGUAUUUUCAUUGCUAUUAAAUGAUAAAACAUGAAUAGUACUUUAUGUGUGACUAAAUAUUUUUAAAUUUUUCAAAUAAGAUGGACGGUCAAACGUUGGGCACGGAUAUCCACUGCUGCACUUAUU